GAUGCUAAUACCGGAUAACAACAGAUGAUGCCUAUCAACUGUUUAAAAGAUGGUUCUGCUAUCACUCUCGGAUGGACCUGCGGUGCAUUAGCUAGUUGGUAGGGUAACGGCCUACCAAGGCGAUGAUGCAUAGCCGAGUUGAGAGACUGAUCGGCCACAUUGGGACUGAGACACGGCCCAAACUCCUACGGGAGGCAGCAGAU
Molecule: ribosomal RNA, 203 nt
Filed under: uncultured Lactobacillus sp.
Lineage: Bacteria; Bacillati; Bacillota; Bacilli; Lactobacillales; Lactobacillaceae
Description: partial 16S ribosomal RNA
Rfam family: Bacterial small subunit ribosomal RNA
Source: RNAcentral